RNAcentral lists this ribosomal RNA (492 nucleotides) under uncultured bacterium. RNAcentral describes it as "partial 16S ribosomal RNA". It matches the Rfam family "Bacterial small subunit ribosomal RNA", at positions 30 to 507 of the family's 1533-position model. The record is from RNAcentral.
CGAACGCUGACGGCGUGCUUAACACAUGCAAGUCGAACGGUGAAGCGCCUUCCUUUUUGGUGGGUGUGGAUGAGUGGCGAACGGGUGAGUAACACGUGAGUAACCUGCCCCCUUCUUCUGGAUAACCGCAUGAAAGUGUGGCUAAUACGGGAUAUUCUGGGUCUGUCGCAUGAUGGGUCUGGGAAAGAUAUUGUUUCGGUGGGGGAUGGGCUCGCGGCCUAUCAGCUUGUUGGUGGGGUGAUGGCCUACCAAGGCGGUGACGGGUAGCCGGCCUGAGAGGGUGGACGGUCACACUGGGACUGAGACACGGCCCAGACUCCUACGGGAGGCAGCAGUGGGGAAUAUUGCACAAUGGGCGCAAGCCUGAUGCAGCGACGCCGCGUGAGGGAUGGAGGCCUUCGGGUUGUGAACCUCUUUCGCCAGUGAAGCAGGCCUGCCUCGUUUGUGGGUGGGUUGACGGUAGCUGGAUAAGAAGCGCCGGCUAACUACGUG